AAAACAAAGCAAAAAUCCUGUAAAAGUGACAGAGCUGGGGGGAGUUUAGGAAGGUACCUGUGGAAAAACUAGUCCUUGACAUCAGAACAUUGAGUAUUUAUCUCACUUCCCAUCCCUGCCUCUCAUGCAGACUACUUCCAAAUAACUGUCUAUCUCCCUUCAUUAUAAAAUUGUAGAAUUAGAUCAAGGAGUAAAUGAAUUGAGAAAAGCUCUAAAAUUAAAUCUCAUUAUAUUGGUUGCAGACCCAGCAGCAUAGAAUUUGGCACAUGUUUAUUAGACUUACCAAGUUAACUUUGCAGAGAAGUAAAUGAAAAAUAUAAGAAAGGACAGCUCGACUCCCAUGCACACAGAGCAGAGUUACUCUGCUGCCUGUUUUGUUGAAGUCAGACUGGUGGAGGACUCAGAGGGGUCUCUGCAUCGCUCUGUGCGAGCAGGGACGGGCCUGAUUCUCCUGCAGGUGCUCCUCCCCAGCCUGGCUAGGGCCAAGCCUCCCUGUGCUGGCUCCAGCCUCCAGCCACUCCUAGAACUUUGAUUUGUGAGAAGAGGAAAGGGAUCGUAACCUCAGAACGGUCUCUAGUCAUAAAGCAGGCCCUGUUCAAUUUCUCUU
Molecule: long non-coding RNA, 607 nt
Filed under: Bos taurus (domestic cattle)
Lineage: Eukaryota; Metazoa; Chordata; Mammalia; Artiodactyla; Bovidae
Description: long non-coding RNA NONBTAT015386
Source: RNAcentral